RNAcentral lists this ribosomal RNA (474 nucleotides) under uncultured bacterium. Its description in RNAcentral is "partial 16S ribosomal RNA". It matches the Rfam family "Bacterial small subunit ribosomal RNA", at positions 28 to 507 of the family's 1533-position model. The record is from RNAcentral.
GAUGAACGCUAGCGGCAGGCCUAACACAUGCAAGUCGAGGGAGGAGCCUUCGGGCUUCGACCGGCGUACGGGUGCGUAACGCGUAUACAAUCUGCCUUUCACAUAGGGAUAGCCCGAAGAAAUUUGGAUUAAUACCUAAUGGUAUAUAGAUGUGGCAUCACCUUUAUAUUAAAGCUGAGGCGGUGAAAGAUGAGUAUGCGUUCUAUUAGCUAGUUGGAGAGGUAACGGCUCCCCAAGGCGACGAUAGAUAGGGGUUCUGAGAGGGAUAUCCCCCACACUGGUACUGAGAUACGGACCAGACUCCUACGGGAGGCAGCAGUGAGGAAUAUUGGACAAUGGUCGGAAGACUGAUCCAGCCAUGCCGCGUGCAGGAAGACGGCCUUAUGGGUUGUAAACUGCUUUUGCAGGGGAAGAACAAGGACUACGCGUAGUUUGAUGACGGUACUCUGCGAAUAAGCAUCGGCUAACUCCGUG